RNAcentral lists this ribosomal RNA (494 nucleotides) under uncultured bacterium. Its description in RNAcentral is "partial 16S ribosomal RNA". It matches the Rfam family "Bacterial small subunit ribosomal RNA", at positions 28 to 507 of the family's 1533-position model. The record is from RNAcentral.
GACGAACGCUGGCGGCGUGCUUAACACAUGCAAGUCGAACGGAAAGGCCUGCUUUCCCUUGUGGAUUGCGGGUACUCGAGUGGCGAACGGGUGAGUAACACGUGAGUGAUCUGCCCCCAACUUGGGUAUAAGCCUGGGAAACUGGGUCUAAUUCCCGGUAGGACUGCAGGGUGGUGCCUGUGGUGGAAAACGAUUUUCUAGUGGUUGGGGAUGAGCUCGCGGCCUAUCAGCUUGUUGGUGGGGUAAUGGCCUACCAAGGCGGCGACGGGUAGCCGGCCUGAGAGGGUGGACGGCCACAGUGGGACUGAGAUACGGCCCAGACUCCUACGGGAGGCAGCAGUGGGGAAUAUUGCACAAUGGGCGGAAGCCUGAUGCAGCGACGCCGCGUGGGGGAUGACGGCCUUCGGGUUGUAAACUCCUUUCGACCGCGAGGAAGCCACCUGGUUGGAAGGGUGGUGACGGUAGUGGUAGAAGAAGCACCGGCUAACUACGUG